RNAcentral lists this ribosomal RNA (490 nucleotides) under uncultured bacterium. Its description in RNAcentral is "partial 16S ribosomal RNA". It matches the Rfam family "Bacterial small subunit ribosomal RNA", at positions 30 to 507 of the family's 1533-position model. The record is from RNAcentral.
AUUGAACGCUGGCGGCAUGCUUUACACAUGCAAGUCGAACGGCAGCGGGGUAGUGCUUGCACUACUGCCGGCGAGUGGCGAACGGGUGAGUAAUAUAUCGGAACGUACCGAGUAAUGGGGGAUAACCAAUCGAAAGAUUGGCUAAUACCGCAUACGUCCUGAGGGAGAAAGCGGGGGAUCGCAAGACCUCGCGUUAUUCGAGCGGCCGAUAACUGAUUAGCUAGUUGGUGGGGUAAAGGCCUACCAAGGCGACGAUCAGUAGCGGGUCUGAGAGGACGAUCCGCCACACUGGGACUGAGACACGGCCCAGACUCCUACGGGAGGCAGCAGUGGGGAAUUUUGGACAAUGGGGGCAACCCUGAUCCAGCCAUGCCGCGUGUAUGAAGAAGGCCUUCGGGUUGUAAAGUACUUUUGUUAGGGAAGAGAAGGGAAGUGCUAAUACCACUUUUUGCUGACGGUACCUAAAGAAUAAGCACCGGCUAACUACGUG